CUCCCUCCCCAGCUGACUCUGAUUAGGUUAUGCUGGUGGGAGGCCCAGGUUGAGCCUCCAAUGGGGAGCCUCUUUGUUGGUUCCAACACCAGCACCCAAGACCCUUUGGUGGUUCCAUGCUAAUUCCCGCAGGUUCUGGCCCCUCCGCUAUGGUUCUGGGCUGUGUUAACAUCUCUUCUCCAUUUUGUUUUUCCAGACUUAGGGGUGGUGUUAUGGGCUCAGUUACGCCCCACCCCCAAUUUAUAUGCUGAAGUCCUAACCCCUUAAUACCUCAGAAUGUGACUGUAUUUGGAGAUAGGGUGCUUAAAGAGGUAAUUAAGUGUAAAUGAGGUCAUUAGGGUGGACCCUAAUCCAAUAUGACUCAUGUCCUUAUAAGAAGAGGAGGUUAGCACACAGGCACACAUAGAGGGAAGUCCAGGUGAACACACAGGGACCAGAUGCCACCUAAAGCCAACGAGAGAGAUCUCAGAAGAAACCAACCCUGCCAGCACCUUGAUCUCAGACUUCUGACCCCCAAAACUGUGAGAAAAUACAUUUUCGUUGGUUAAGCCACCAGGUCUGUGGUAUUUUGUUAGGGCAGCCCUAGCAUAUAAUUACAGGUGGUAUCUGUUCACCUCUGAGUUAACCUGCUGCCUCUGCUUGGCUUUCUCAGAUCUUUUAUGGGGCCAAAUUCUUAUAUUAAAUUCCUUAUUUGAAAUACAGACAUUGAAGAAAGGAUAUGGUGAUUUUUCUUUUUGGUACUUCAUUAAGAAACAUUCUUUUUGUAAACUAAUGUCAAGAGCUAUUUAAGGAAAACAAAAUGCUCACAUUGAAAACUGAACAAUUUAUAAUGCUGAUUUUUUUUUUUUUUUUUUUUUGCUCCUUACCCUCACGGGUCUCAAAUUUUCUUUUCUCAACUUACAUUUAGACCUCUGCCAAUUGUUUCCUCAGAAACAGUAGUUAGGUGGCCUCUUCCCUGGCUGUCUAAGCUGCUUGGGCUGAGUCCUUACCCUUAUUUGGCAGGUCCCAGUAAAUGCUGCUGAAGGGAGUAAGGUAUAGGCAGCUACCAGAGACCUUAUCACGAGUGAACCUUAAGCCUUGUUAAAUGAGAUAAAUGUUGCCACAAUCUUGCCCACUCAUGGACUUGGAUAACUCGUACCAGUUCCUUUAGGAUUUCCCUCUGGUAUUGUAUUCUCUAGAAAUCUUCUCUUCCUAUCUCUUCCCCCAAAGACAGGGAUCCCAGGGUAUGGAUUCUGAGAAGGAGUCUUAUUGGCGAGCGCCCUUGGGAGCGCCACCGUGAAGGAGUGAGGACUACUGACGGGACAGAGGGAGAAGUCGAAUAGCACUGCGGUUGCACAAGCACCGUCAACUAACCCUCUCGGCCAUGAUGGCGCAGGAGGUCCACUGUGGGCCACGGAAUGUGAGCUGCGCCCCCUGGGAGGACGCAUGACCUCAGCUGAAACAUGGAUGAUAUGGGAGGGCAGUGAACCAGCUUUUACCUUGCAACAUGAAGUCGGUACUCCAGGGGAACAGGACAACAAGGGAACCAGCAACAAUGUAACUAAGAAAGCAAAGGAGUAAAUAGCUUCUAUUCCAGAAGAAAAACAAAGCCACCACUGCUUUGCAAUACUUUUCCCUACUUCUCAGCAAUUUUCCAAUUUACAUAAACAGUUUCUGACAGUGUGCAAUGCCUUCUAAUUAGGUUACAUACCACUGUUUCAGAACUGUGGAAGACUUUGCUGUCCACUCACAUCCUCUCUUAAUGCUACUUUGAACUGGAAUGAGUAUUUUAAUUCAAGACUGGCUUGCCUCUAUUUCCCUCCCAUCCUGUCAGGAGACAGAUAUGUGCCAGGAAUGUGGAGUGAAAAGUGGGAGGGAGCUUUCAGCUUUCAGAUGGUGUUAUAUUUGUCCGUGUAAGAUAUCUCCAGGGAGCUGGUGGAGGUAAGAAAGCGGGUUGAGGAGUAACUAAGAGAAGGUCGAAGGAUUUCAAGGAGUGAAGGAAGGGACCCAUUAACUGUAAUGCGGCAGAAACAGCAAGAAUCACCAGGAUAUGCUGCCCCCUGCAGGAUUGUUUGGUAAAAACACACCAGUUAAAAUUGACUACUUAAACGUUAAACAAUCUCAGUGUUGACAGGAUGUGAGCAAUAGAAAUGCUCAUAUUCUUCUGGUAGGGUGUUAUUUGGUAAUGUCUAGAAAAGCUGAAGAUGUACAUUCCCUACAUCCCAGAAAUCUCACUCUUACGUAAACAUCCUAGAGAUACUCCCCCAUGUUUGGAUAAGGAGACAUGUAUAGGAGUGUCCCUUGUUGUGCUAUUUGUGACAGCAAGAAAUUGGAAACAACCCAAAUAUUCAUCAACAGAAAAAUGUAAACCUCAGUUGGGGUAUAUUCCUACCAUGAAAUGCUAUAUACAGUAAUUUAAAAGUAACAAGUUCACAUUAACCAACAUGGAUUCAUCUCAAGAAUAUAAUUUGGAGAGACACAUUCCUGCAUAAGGAUACAUAAUAUGAUACCACUUGUAUAUAUAAAGUUUGAAAACACAUAAAAUACACAGAGUACAAUAUCAUUUAUAUAACUGAAAACAUGCAAAAACAAAACUGUAUGUGUAAUAAAAACAUACUUAGGAAUAAUGAACAUAAAACUUGAAACUAAGCUGAGAAUCACAAACAGCAAAUUUAAGAUAACAGUUACCUCUGAGGAGAGAAUGGGUGAAAAAGGAUAGGAAAGGGUACCCAAGGUAUUGUGAUUAGAUGUGCUAGGUUUUGUUUCUUUUGUGUACUGGGUACAUGAGUAUUCAUUAUAUUAUACCUAAUAUCGUAAGGCCUGAAAUAUUUCAUUAAAAAAAUUGAGUGUCAUACAGAGUGAAGUAAGUCAGAAGGAGAAAUACAAAUACCGUAUGCUAACUCAUACAUAUGGAAUCUAAAAAAAAAAAAAUGGUUCUGAAGAACCUAGGGGCAGGACAGGAAUAAAGACGCAGACAUAGAGAAUGGACUUGAGGACACGGGAAGGGGGAAGGGGAAGCUGGGACGAAGUGAGAGAGUGGCAUGGACAUAUGUACACUACCAAUUGUAAAAUAGAUAGCUAGAGGGAAGCAGCUGCAUAGCACAAGGAGAUCAGCUCCGUGCUUUGUGUCCACCUAGAAGGGUGGGAUAGGGAGGGUGGGAGGGAGACGCAAGAGGGAGGAGAUAUGGGGAUAUAUGUGUAUGUAUAGCUGAUUCACUUUGUUAUAAAGCAGAAACUAAUGCACCAUUGUAAAGCAAUUAUACUCCAAUAAAGAUAAAAAAAAAGACUGAA
Molecule: long non-coding RNA, 3270 nt
Organism: Orcinus orca (killer whale)
Lineage: Eukaryota; Metazoa; Chordata; Mammalia; Artiodactyla; Delphinidae
Exons: 3
Source: RefSeq, a predicted model, not a curated record